This 64-nucleotide ribosomal RNA is filed under the name Anaerococcus vaginalis. RNAcentral's name for it is "partial 16S ribosomal RNA". It matches the Rfam family "Bacterial small subunit ribosomal RNA", at positions 1 to 64 of the family's 1533-position model. The record is from RNAcentral. Lineage: Bacteria; Bacillati; Bacillota; Tissierellia; Tissierellales; Peptoniphilaceae.
AAAAUUGAGAGUUUGAUCCUGGCUCAGGAUAAACGCUGGCGGCGUGCAUAACACAUGCAAGUCG